RNAcentral lists this ribosomal RNA (443 nucleotides) under uncultured bacterium. RNAcentral describes it as "partial 16S ribosomal RNA". It matches the Rfam family "Bacterial small subunit ribosomal RNA", at positions 338 to 795 of the family's 1533-position model. The record is from RNAcentral.
CCUACGGGAGGCAGCAGUGGGGAAUAUUGGGCAAUGGGCGCAAGCCUGACCCAGCAACGCCGCGUGAAGGAAGAAGGCUUUCGGGUUGUAAACUUCUUUUCUGAGGGACGAAGAAAGUGACGGUACCUCAGGAAUAAGCCACGGCUAACUACGUGCCAGCAGCCGCGGGAAUACGGCGGUGGCAAGCGUUAUCCGGAUUCAAUGGGUGUAAAGGGCGUGUAGGCGGGAAAGCAAGUCAGAUGUGAAAACUCAGGGCUCAACCCUGAGCCUGCAUUUGAAACUGUUUGUCUUGAGUGCUGGAGAGGCAAUCGGAAUUCGGGGUGUAGCGGUGAAAUGCGGAGAUAUACGGAGGAACACCAGUGGCGAAGGCGGAUUGCUGGACAGUAACUGACGCUGAGGCGCGAAAGCGUGGGGAGCAAACAGGAUUAGAUACCCUUGUAGUC